RNAcentral lists this ribosomal RNA (463 nucleotides) under uncultured bacterium. RNAcentral's name for it is "bacterial SSU rRNA". It matches the Rfam family "Bacterial small subunit ribosomal RNA", at positions 30 to 534 of the family's 1533-position model. The record is from RNAcentral.
AUUGAACGCUGGCGGCAUGGCUAAUGCAUGCAAGUCGAACGAAAGCCCUUCGGGGCGAAAGUGGCGAAAGGGCGAGUAAUACGAUCGAACGUACCCCAAGGUGGAGGAUAGUGUCGGGAAACUGACGGUAAUACUCCAUGUGCUCUUCGGAGGAAAGCUUUGGCGCCUCGGGAGCGGCGAUCGUCCUAUCAGGUAGUUGGUGAGGUAAUGGCUCACCAAGCCGAAGACGGGUAGCGGGUGUGAGAGCAUGACCCGCCGCAUCGGGACUGAGACACUGCCCGGACUCCUACGGGAGGCUGCAGCGACGAAUCUUCCGCAAUGGGCGCAAGCCUGACGGAGCAAUGCCGCGUGUGGGACGAAGCGUCUUCGACGUGUAAACCACUGUCAGAAUCUAGGAACACUGACCAGAUUCAAAGGAAGGGCCGGCUAACCUCGUGCCAGCAGCCGCGUAAUGUAGACGUCU